Molecule: ribosomal RNA, 1435 nt
Filed under: uncultured organism
Description: SSU rRNA
Rfam family: Bacterial small subunit ribosomal RNA
Source: RNAcentral
CUAGCUACAGGCUUAACACAUGCAAGUCGAGGUGCAGCAUGGUCUUAGCUUGCUAAGGCCGAUGGCGACCGGCGCACGGGUGAGUAACGCGUAUCCAACCUGCCUUACACUCUUGGACAGCCUUCUGAAAGGGAGAUUAAUACAAGAUGUUAUCAUGAGUAAGCAUUUUCACAUGAUUAAAGGUUUACCGGUGUAAGAUGGGGAUGCGUUCCAUUAGAUAGUAGGCGGGGUAACGGCCCACCUAGUCUUCGAUGGAUAGGGGUUCUGAGAGGAAGGUCCCCCACAUUGGAACUGAGACACGGUCCAAACUCCUACGGGAGGCAGCAGUGAGGAAUAUUGGUCAAUGGACGAGAGUCUGAACCAGCCAAGUAGCGUGAAGGAUGAAGGUUCUAUGGAUUGUAAACUUCUUUUAUACGGGAAUAAACGGAUCCACGUGUGGAUUUUUGCAUGUACCGUAUGAAUAAGGAUCGGCUAACUCCGUGCCAGCAGCCGCGGUAAUACGGAGGAUCCGAGCGUUAUCCGGAUUUAUUGGGUUUAAAGGGAGCGUAGAUGGGUUGUUAAGUCAGUUGUGAAAGUUUGCGGCUCAACCGUAAAAUUGCAAUUGAUACUGGCAGUCUUGAGUACAGUUGAGGUAGGCGGAAUUCGUGGUGUAGCGGUGAAAUGCUUAGAUAUCACGAAGAACUCCGAUUGCGAAGGCAGCUUACUAACCUGUAACUGACAUUGAUGCUCGAAAGUGUGGGUAUCAAACAGGAUUAGAUACCCUGGUAGUCCACACGGUAAACGAUGAAUACUCGCUGUAGGCGAUAUACAGUCUGCGGCCAAGCGAAAGCAUUAAGUAUUCCACCUGGGGAGUACGCCGGCAACGGUGAAACUCAAAGGAAUUGACGGGGGCCCGCACAAGCGGAGGAACAUGUGGUUUAAUUCGAUGAUACGCGAGGAACCUUACCCGGGCUUAAAUUGCAACCGAAUAUGGCGGAAACGCUAUAGCUAGCAAUAGCGGUUGUGAAGGUGCUGCAUGGUUGUCGUCAGCUCGUGCCGUGAGGUGUCGGCUUAAGUGCCAUAACGAGCGCAACCCUUGCCGAUAGUUACUAACAGGUCAUGCUGAGGACUCUGUCGGGACUGCCAUCGUAAGAUGUGAGGAAGGUGGGGAUGACGUCAAAUCAGCACGGCCCUUACGUCCGGGGCUACACACGUGUUACAAUGGGGGGUACAGAGGGCUGCUACCACGCAAGUGGAUGCCAAUCCCAAAAACCUCUCUCAGUUCGGAUUGAAGUCUGCAACCCGACUUCAUGAAGCUGGAUUCGCUAGUAAUCGCGCAUCAGCCACGGCGCGGUGAAUACGUUCCCGGGCCUUGUACACACCGCCCGUCAAGCCAUGGGAGCCGGGGGUACCUGAAGUGCGUAACCGCAAGGAGCGCCCUAGGGUAAAACUGGAG